AAACAUGUCUUUUUGCUUAUAAUAUAAAGUYUGACCUGCCCUAUGAAUAAGUUAAUUUUAAAUGGCUGCGGUACUCUGACCGUGCAAAGGUAGCAUAAUAAUUAGUUUUUUAAUUGGGAACUGGUAUGAAAGGUCGAACGAGAAAAAGACUGUCUCAAUUUAAUUUAAAUUAGAAUUUUAUUUUUAAGUAAAAAAGCUUAAAUAUUUUUAAAAGACGAGAAGACCCUAUAGAGUUUUAUAUAAUUUGUUAUUUUUGAAAGUUAAAGAAUUUUAGAUUCGAUUAUAUUAAAUUAUAUUUGGUUGGGGCAAUUAAAAAAUUAAAGUAAUUUUUUUUAAAUUAUACCAUUGAUAUAUGAUUAAGUGAUCCAUAGUUUAUGAUUAAAAGAUUAAAUUACCUUAGGGAUAACAGCGUAANUUUUUUUUAGAGUUCUUAUCGAAAAAAGAGUUUGCGACCUCGAUGUUGGAUUAAAAUUUACUUUUGGCGCAGCAACUAAAAGGAUUAGGUCUGUUCGACCUUUAAAAUUUUACAKGA
Molecule: ribosomal RNA, 532 nt
Filed under: Coprophanaeus bonariensis
Lineage: Eukaryota; Metazoa; Arthropoda; Insecta; Coleoptera; Scarabaeidae
Description: partial large subunit ribosomal RNA
Rfam family: Bacterial large subunit ribosomal RNA
Source: RNAcentral